UCUUCAUUUCGCGUGCUCUCUCGCCUCUCUAACCGGUGAGAGAACACGUGAAAUGAAGAGA
This 61-nucleotide microRNA precursor is filed under the name Pristionchus pacificus. RNAcentral's name for it is "mir-8364 microRNA precursor family". It matches the Rfam family "mir-8364 microRNA precursor family". The record is from Rfam by way of RNAcentral. Lineage: Eukaryota; Metazoa; Nematoda; Chromadorea; Rhabditida; Neodiplogasteridae.